CCAAUGGUAUCAGUGGUAGGGGAGCGUUCUAAGGACAGUGAAGUCAGACCGGAAGGACUGGUGGAGUGCUUAGAAGUGAGAAUGCCGGUAUGAGUAGCGAAAGACGGGUGAGAAUCCCGUCCACCGAAUGCCUAAGGUUUCCUGAGGAAGGCUCGUCCGCUCAGGGUUAGUCAGGACCUAAGCCGAGGCCGACAGGCGUAGGCGAUGGACAACAGGUUGAUAUUCCUGUACCACCUCUUUAUCGUUUGAGCAAUGGAGGGACGCAGAAGGAUAGAAGAAGCGUGCGAUUGGUUGUGCACGUCCAAGCAGUUAGGCUGAUAAGUAGGCAAAUCCGCUUAUCGUGAAGGCUGAGCUGUGAUGGGGAAGCUCCUUAUGGAGCGAAGUCUUUGAUUCCCCGCUGCCAAGAAAAGCUUCUAGCGAGAUAAAAGGUGCCUGUACCGCAAACCGACACAGGUAGGCGAGGAGAGAAUCCUAAGGUGUGCGAGAGAACUCUGGUUAAGGAACUCGGCAAAAUGACCCCGUAACUUCGGGAGAAGGGGUGCUUUCUUAACGGAAAGCCGCAGUGAAUAGGCCCAAGCGACUGUUUAGCAAAAACACAGCUCUCUGCGAAGCCGUAAGGCGAAGUAUAGGGGGUGACACCUGCCCGGUGCUGGAAGGUUAAGGAGAGGGGUUAGCGUAAGCGAAGCUCUGAACUGAAGCCCCAGUAAACGGCGGCCGUAACUAUAACGGUCCUAAGGUAGCGAAAUUCCUUGUCGGGUAAGUUCCGACCCGCACGAAAGGUGUAACGAUUUGGGCACUGUCUCAACCAGAGACUCGGUGAAAUUAUAGUACCUGUGAAGAUGCAGGUUACCCGCGACAGGACGGAAAGACCCCGUGGAGCUUUACUGUAGCCUGAUAUUGAAUUUUGGUACAGUUUGUACAGGAUAGGCGGGAGCCUUUGAAACCGGAGCGCUAGCUUCGGUGGAGGCGCUGGUGGGAUACCGCCCUGACUGUAUUGAAAUUCUAACCUACGGGUCUUAUCGACCCGGGAGACAGUGUCAGGUGGGCAGUUUGACUGGGGCGGUCGCCUCCUAAAGUGUAACGGAGGCGCCCAAAGGUUCCCUCAGAAUGGUUGGAAAUCAUUCGUAGAGUGCAAAGGCAUAAGGGAGCUUGACUGCGAGACCUACAAGUCGAGCAGGGACGAAAGUCGGGCUUAGUGAUCCGGUGGUUCCGCAUGGAAGGGCCAUCGCUCAACGGAUAAAAGCUACCCCGGGGAUAACAGGCUUAUCUCCCCCAAGAGUCCACAUCGACGGGGAGGUUUGGCACCUCGAUGUCGGCUCAUCGCAUCCUGGGGCUGUAGUCGGUCCCAAGGGUUGGGCUGUUCGCCCAUUAAAGCGGUACGCGAGCUGGGUUCAGAACGUCGUGAGACAGUUCGGUCCCUAUCCGUCGUGGGCGUAGGAAAUUUGAGAGGAGCUGUCCUUAGUACGAGAGGACCGGGAUGGACGCACCGCUGGUGUACCAGUUGUUCUGCCAAGGGCAUAGCUGGGUAGCUAUGUGCGGAAGGGAUAAGUGCUGAAAGCAUCUAAGCAUGAAGCCCCCCUCAAGAUGAGAUUUCCCAUAGCGUAAGCUAGUAAGAUCCCUGAAAGAUGAUCAGGUUGAUAGG
Molecule: ribosomal RNA, 1642 nt
Filed under: Bacillus anthracis (anthrax bacterium)
Lineage: Bacteria; Bacillati; Bacillota; Bacilli; Caryophanales; Bacillaceae
Description: partial 23S ribosomal RNA
Rfam family: Bacterial large subunit ribosomal RNA
Source: RNAcentral